Long non-coding RNA from Myzus persicae (green peach aphid), 2433 nucleotides. RefSeq lists it as uncharacterized. The record is from RefSeq and is a predicted model, not a curated record. The transcript has 4 exons. NCBI's taxonomy places the organism in Eukaryota, Metazoa, Arthropoda, Insecta, Hemiptera, Aphididae.
AGCCAAUCAUUUCGUUAUCUUUAUUGUAUGGAGGCAGAUUGCAGAAUAAAGUAUUAUAAUCUUCGGUGACCUUAUGAAAUGACGUAUUAAAAUAUUAAUUAUGAUGUAUUAUUAAUUUCAUUUACUUACUAAUUAAUAUUUACUAUUUAGUAAAUCAAAUAUCAAUAGACAAUAUUGUCAAACAUUUAACUGGGUAGAUGUCAACUGUCAGGGGUUAGAAGUUGGAUGUCUGAAACACAUAGUAAAAAAUAUUUGUUGGCUGAAAAAUAAAAAUAAAUAACAAUCAAACUCAACAACCAUGGAUGCUUCUAGGCUGGUCGGUAUUGAUGUCGAAUGAUACACAAUCAUUUUUAAUUAUUUAGCUUAGCCAAAAAAACGAAUCGAGUAGUAACUGAGUAGUCACUUACCCAGGCGGGUGGAUCAGGAGCAUGCACCAAAUUAAAUUUUUGCACAUUGUCUACCAAGAUGGCUAUGCUGUACUUAUACCUGCUCAUCGGCGUGACGGCAAUCAAAAUGAAAAUAAAUAUAUAAAAGUAAAAAAGAUACCUAUAAUUUAUAUAGAGUAUGCAUCAAGAGGGGUCCGCAAUCCACCUAUGGUGGAUUGUCCGCCUGAUAAUAUACUGCUUGCAUUAUCACAAGCGGGUUUCAUCCAAAAUGAAAAUGAUAUUUGAUUGAGUGAAGGCAUACAGAACAACUUUUUAAAAUCAAAAAUAAUAUUCAAUUUAAAUUUUAAAUGAACCAAGAAACUGAGUUUUUCACAUAUUUAUUGGAGGAAUAAUAGUAUGAAAGAAAAAUUAGCUAAUCAAACAUCUCGGUGGCUCAGUCGUAAAGGCAUUUCAAUUUUUACAAAACAUUUCAGUAGACUCUAAAAAUUGUGAAGCUACUAUUAAAUUUAUACUAAUUAUUGAUGAGAUUUUUGAUUUUUUUAAUUUGAGAAAUGCAUUUACAAGAAAAUAUAAAAAAACAAUGUAUCCAUAAAAUUUAGUAGGUAUACCUAGAAUCUAGAAUAAGCAAGAGUGGGAGUUAACCAAAAAAAAAAUAUAUUUGACUGACCAUUAAUAUGUCUAAGUUCUUAACAUGUUGGCAAUUUUACUGUUAAUUUUAUUAAGAAUGGACUUUAAGUUAUGUUAUAAACAAAAUUACCAACCAUUAAGAUUGUAAAAUCAAAACAUAAUAUAAUACAAUAUUUAUACUUGCCAUUCUGGGAACCGAGAGAAACCUCUGUUCUACAUUAUUAUCAUUGUAAAUGUCGCUCUUCGAAACUAUGUAGGCAUAAUAUAUUAAUACGAAACCGGAAAAUUCUCACUAUAACAUUUUUGUUGAUGAAAUUUGAUUUAUCUCAACCCACAGGUGUCAUUGUAUUGUAUUAACAAUUAAUUCAACUUACAUCUCUAUACUUAUAUAAUAUAACAUCACUGCGACUAAAAUUAAAACUCCAAGUCCAAAAAUUAAUACAAAUAUAUAGUUUAUUUCAUAAAAAAGUCAGUAAAAUAGUGUGCUUACAUAUUUCUAUAUAUAUUUUAAAAUUCUAUUUAGCUCCCGUUAAAAAAAAAUCCUGGGUGGGCACUUGAGAAUGAGAAAUCACAUGUAUAGCAUUUCUAUACUCACUUAAACAAUUAAACAACAUACAUCAGAACAACCAUUAAAAUAAAUACAUUUUUUUUAUGUGUAGAAUAUUAAGAUUUUAUUAGCUUGUAAUUGUAUGUACUUAUGUGACACUUGUUAACAUAAUAUAUGUUUAAUCAGGAAGCUCUUGAACUACUUUUUGGUCAUAUUAGAGGAAGGUUUGGAUAUAACAUUUUCCCAAAUUAUUUAAAAUUGAAAUAUGCUAUUUGCAGUAUUUUAUUACAGAAUUUCAUUAAAAUGUCUACUGAAAACUAUACACUGUUUAUGUCAAAUAAUUCAUUACUUUCAUUGAAGUAUAAUUAUAAAGACAAAUAAAAGUACUUAUUAUAUGUUUGGAUAAACUUAUUGUCAACCAUAUUUCUGGAGACAUCAACUGUGAAUACUGUAUGGAAGAAAUAUCAGAAUCAUCAUGGACAUCCAACAGAAAAGAUCUCAUUACAAAUUAUCAAUAAAUUUGAUUACACAUACCUAACAGUUUUGUGUCAUUUAAGUGUAUAUGUGGACUUAAAAAUGCGUCUGAAAGCACUAAACAUUGUUAAAGUAAUAAAGUGACUAAAACAUUUUUUUUAAUCCAUUAUUAUUAAUGAAAAAUAGAUUCAUGAUCAGUAUUACCUCAAUGUGACAAAUGCACUGAGGUCAUAUAUACUUACAUUUUACUCUACAUAAAAUAAAAAUACUUAAUUGCAAUGAUUAGCCAAGCCUAUUUGAAUACCUAUCUAAACAACAUCAUAAUUAAUUUAGUAAAAUCUUCACCAGUUAUUAAUGAAAGAUACAGUUUGCAACUAAAAACAAUCAUUUUAUUUCAUA